UGGCACCCAGCAUGUGGGGCUUGAGUACAAGGGACCAGUGAAGAUCACUGCAGUGGUUUUGGUUGGCCGACACAUUUUGUAUGGAAAAUGUCUUGCGGGAACCUGGUGUCUCAACUAGGAAUCCUGGUAAGUUUGCGGUGAUCAUUGGGAUAGAUGUUGAAUAGCCAUGAAUUAUUUAUGGAAGGGUUGAAAAAGGCUUUAAAGGCAUGAGGGAUAAAGGUUAAAAAUGGUUUUGCUUGCAUUUUUUGAUUUUUGUUAAAGAGAUUUGCCCUU
Mus musculus (house mouse) is the source of this 273-nucleotide non-coding RNA. NCBI's taxonomy places the organism in Eukaryota, Metazoa, Chordata, Mammalia, Rodentia, Muridae. The record is from Rfam.